RNAcentral lists this ribosomal RNA (1457 nucleotides) under uncultured rumen bacterium. RNAcentral describes it as "bacterial SSU rRNA". It matches the Rfam family "Bacterial small subunit ribosomal RNA". The record is from RNAcentral.
GAGUUGUCCUGGUCAGAUGACGUAGCUACAGGUUAACACAUGAAGUGAGGGGAGAUGAUUAGUUGUAAGUUGUGGCGCCGGCGACGGGUGAGAACGCGUAUCCAACCUGGCCCAUAGUAGGGGAUAGCCCGGCGAAAGUCGGAUUAAUACCCUAUGUUCUCCGACGAUGACAUCUGAGUUGGAGCAAAGAUUCAUCGCUAUGGGAUGGGGAUGCGUCUGAUUAGGUAGUCGGCGGGGUAACGGCCCACCGCGCCGUCGAUCAAUAGGGGUUCUGAGAGGAAGGUCCCCCACAUUGGAACUGAGACAAGGUCCAAACUCCUACGGGAGGCAGCAGUGAGGAAUAUUGGUCAAUGGACGCAGGUCUGAACCAGCCAAGUAGCGUGCAGGAUGACGGCCCUAUGGGUUGUAAACUGCUUUUGGAGGGGAAUAAAGUGCGGGACGUGUCCUGUUUUGUAUGUACCCUCAGAAUAAGGACCCGCUAAUUCCGUGCCAGCAGCCGCGGUAAUAAGGAAGGUCCGGGCGUUAUCCGGAUUUAUUGGGUUUAAAGGGAGCGCAGGCCGUAGAUUAAGCGUGACGUGAAAUGCCGCGGCUCAACCCUGGAAGUGCGUCGCGAACUGGUUUACUUGAGUGAGUUCGACGCCGGCGGAAUUCGUGGUGUAGCGGUGAAAUGCUUGGAUAUCACGAAGAACCCCGAUUGCGAAGGCAGCCGGCGAGGCUUUAUUCACUCUAAAGCGCGAGGUUGCGGUUAUCAAACAGAAUUAGAUACCCUGGUAGCCCGCACGGUAAACGAUGGAUGCCCUCUUUAUGCGAUAUAUUGUAUGCGGCCAAGCGAAAGCUUUAAGCAUCCCACCUGGGGAGUACGCCGGCAACGUUGAAACUCAAAGGAAUUGACGGGGGCCCGCACAAGCGGAGGAACAUGUGGUUUAAUUCGAUGAUACGCGAGGAACCUUACCGGGGCUUGAACUGCAGGAGAGGAUACAGAGAUGUUGACGCUUCGGGGCUCCUGUGGAGGUGCUGCAUGGUUGUCGUCAGCUCGUGCCGUGAGUUGUCGGCUUAAGUGCCAUAACGAGCGCAACCCCUGCCGUCAGUUGCCAUCAGGUGAUGCUGGGCACUCUGUCGGGACUGCCACCGUAAGUUGUGAGGAAGGUGGGGAUGACGUCAAAUCAGCACGGCCCUUACGUCCGGGGCUACACACUUGUUACAAUGGUUGAUACAGAGAGUUGGUGCACGGCGACUUGCAUGGGAUCAUGAAAGUCAUCCUCAGUUGGGACGGGGGUCUGCAACCCGACCCCGCGAAGCUGGAUUCGCUAGUAAUCGCGCAUCAGCCAUGGCGCGGUGAAUACGUUCCGGGGCCUUGUACACACCGCCCGUCAAGCCAUGAAAGCCGGGGGCGCCUGAAGUCCUGACCGCGAGGGCGCCUAGGUGAAACCGUGAUUGGGCUAAGCGUAACAAGUAAC